UAGGGCCUCAUAGAUAAUACAAUGGGAAGCAACAGCGAGAAGCAAUACCGUGAGGUGGAGCAAAUCUUCAAACCUUCCCCUAGUUCGGAUUGUACUCUGGAACUCGAGUACAUGAAGUUGGAAUUGCUAGUAAUGGCAGGUCAGCCAUACUGCCGUGAAUACGUCCCUGUUCCUUGCACUCACCGCCCGUCAAACCAUGGGAGCUGAGGUUCUUUGAAGACUUACUAUGUGGGUUAAGGAGAAAAUCAGUGACUGGGGUUAAGUCGUAACAAGGCAUCCCUACGAGAACGUGGGGAUAGACUACCACUCUA
RNAcentral lists this ribosomal RNA (311 nucleotides) under bacterium. Its description in RNAcentral is "partial 16S ribosomal RNA". It matches the Rfam family "Bacterial small subunit ribosomal RNA", at positions 1209 to 1533 of the family's 1533-position model. The record is from RNAcentral.